Molecule: long non-coding RNA, 319 nt
Filed under: Ananas comosus (pineapple)
Lineage: Eukaryota; Viridiplantae; Streptophyta; Magnoliopsida; Poales; Bromeliaceae
Description: long non-coding RNA (ACOM_LNC005040)
Source: RNAcentral
UAUCAAAUCAUAAAAGAUCACCAUAUUUGCUCUAACAUCUUCAAAAUUUCUCACGCCCCGGAUUACACAUUUUUCCGGGCACGCCGACAAAUCCGCCGUAUACAAAAGAAUUUUCCCUGUAUACGAAGCGAUAGCUGUACCUAUAAACAAAUUCAAGUAACAACUAGUAGUAUAGAGCUGCUAAACUGAACUGAAUAUAAAUAAAUAUCAGGUUCACUAUACAUACAAUGUCACCCAGAUACAAUAUCCCUCGCUCAACCGAGUAACAAGUAUAAGUAUGUACAUGAACCAAAAACCAAAACUGCCUGUAGCUGGUACU